CGAAUGGGGAAACCCGGUGCACUUCGGUGCAUCAUCGUUAGCUGAAUACAUAGGCUAACGAGGCGAACCGGGGGAACUGAAACAUCUAAGUACCCCGAGGAAAAGAAAUCAACCGAGAUUCCCCCAGUAGCGGCGAGCGAACGGGGAACAGCCCAGAGCCUGAAUCAGCUUGUGUGUCAGUGGAACGGUCUGGAAAGGCCGGCGAUACAGGGUGACAGCCCCGUACACGAAGGCACACAGGCUGUGAGCUCGAUGAGUAGGGCGGGACACGUGAUAUCCUGUCUGAAGAUGGGGGGACCAUCCUCCAAGGCUAAAUACUCCUGACUGACCGAUAGUGAACCAGUACCGUGAGGGAAAGGCGAAAAGAACCCCGGCGAGGGGAGUGAAACAGAACCUGAAACCGUGUACGUACAAGCAGUGGGAGCCUUCGUAAGAGGGUGACUGCGUACCUUUUGUAUAAUGGGUCAGCGACUUAUAUUCUGUAGCAAGGUUAACCGUAUAGGGGAGCCGAAGGGAAACCGAGUCUUAACCGGGCGUUAAGUUGCAGGGUAUAGACCCGAAACCCGGUGAUCUAGCCAUGGGCAGGUUGAAGGUUGGGUAACACUAACUGGAGGACCGAACCGACUAAUGUUGAAAAAUUAGCGGAUGACCUGUGGCUGGGGGUGAAAGGCCAAUCAAACCGGGAGAUAGCUGGUUCUCCCCGAAAGCUAUUUAGGUAGCGCCUCGUGAACUCAUCUCCGGGGGUAGAGCACUGUUUCGGCUAGGGGGCCAUCCCGGCUUACCAACCCGAUGCAAACUGCGAAUAC
Molecule: ribosomal RNA, 806 nt
Filed under: Leptospira borgpetersenii serovar Hardjo-bovis
Lineage: Bacteria; Pseudomonadati; Spirochaetota; Leptospiria; Leptospirales; Leptospiraceae
Description: partial 23S ribosomal RNA
Rfam family: Bacterial large subunit ribosomal RNA
Source: RNAcentral